UGAACGCUAGCGGCAGGCUUAAUACAUGCAAGUCGAGGGGCAGCGGGAGUAGCAAUACUUGCCGGCGACCGGCGCACGGGUGCGUAACACGUAUGCAAUCUACCUCUGACUGGGGAAUAGCCUUCCGAAAGGAAGAUUAAUACCGCAUAAUAUCACGAGACGGCAUCGCCUUGUGAUCAAAGCUUCGGCGGUCAGAGAUGAGCAUGCGUCCGAUUAGCUAGUUGGCGGGGUAACGGCCCACCAAGGCGACGAUCGGUAGGGGGUCUGAGAGGAUGAUCCCCCCACACUGGUACUGAGACACGGACCAGACUCCUACGGGAGGCAGCAGUAAGGAAUAUUGGACAAUGGCCGAAAGGCUGAUCCAGCCAUGCCGCGUGCAGGAUGAAGGUGCUCUGCAUUGUAAACUGCUUUUGUUCGGGAAUAAACCCCUCUACGUGUAGAGGGCUGAAUGUACCGAAAGAAUAAGGGACGGCUAACUUCG
Molecule: ribosomal RNA, 481 nt
Filed under: uncultured bacterium
Lineage: Bacteria
Description: bacterial SSU rRNA
Rfam family: Bacterial small subunit ribosomal RNA
Source: RNAcentral